UCCACAAAAGUUAAUCUCCAAGGAAGCUUAAGGGUUUUGGUGGAGUGAUUUGGGAAGAGGAAGGUCUUGGCAGCUUCUUGACAUAGGGAUUAAGGUGAAUUUGGGUUUCUUAGCGAUUAAAGCCACUUUGGGUAAAAACUUUUGAAGUAUCUGUACUGGAACUGGUGAGUGUACUACUUCCCUAAUUUGUUACUAUCUGGCUAUCUGUGACUUCUGUAUAUUCUGUAUGAAACGAGGGUGUACUUUAUCGCUCUCGUUUCUCUCAUCUGUUACUUGUUUCUUGCAUACUGUAUAAGUCUGUAUUUGCUCUCUGUAUCUGUUAUCUGUAUCUGUUCUCUGUAUAAGUCUGCGAUCUCUGAGCUCAAAAUCUGUGGCUAGUUACUCGAGUCGAGUCGACAAGAGUCUGGUCGAUUAGAUAACAAACCAUGGUAGUCUGUUUCUGGGAAUCUUUGGGUAUUGAGACUCUUGAUUCCGGUAUAAUCGAAUAUUACCAUUUCUGUUUCUGUUGAGGUGUUCGGGCCCGGUAGGGGGUAUGUUCGGUGGACGGAAUCUGGUGUAAAGUGAGGUCUACGGACAUGUUGGUUCAGUAUACGUUGACGGAGAGUCAACGGGUUGGGAUCAAACUCUGCAACGAAAAUUUGGUUCCUGAGAGCCACCCGUAUCCUUUCUAUCUGCGGUGUUUGUUCAUUUCCUUACUUGAUUUGCAUAUGUGACUAUUUGAAUAUGAAGUUCCAUGAUUCUUACCUGCUAUUAUUUUGGUACCUCAUUGAGCGUAAGCUCACCUCCUUGCUGUUAUCUUUGUUUUCCUUGCAGGAAACCAAACUUUGAAUCCAUGAUUUUGGAAGAAAGGGUCGAGCUAGUGUAAUUAGUAUUUUGUUAAGCUCUUUUGCAACCGAAACCUGAAUCGUAUUUUUAUGUGUAUGAAUACCUUGGCUUGUAUUUUAGUUUAGUUAAUUUGCCAAA
This is a long non-coding RNA of Coffea arabica (coffee), 963 nucleotides long. RefSeq lists it as uncharacterized. NCBI's taxonomy places the organism in Eukaryota, Viridiplantae, Streptophyta, Magnoliopsida, Gentianales, Rubiaceae. The record is from RefSeq and is a predicted model, not a curated record.